Molecule: ribosomal RNA, 253 nt
Filed under: uncultured bacterium
Lineage: Bacteria
Description: partial 16S ribosomal RNA
Rfam family: Bacterial small subunit ribosomal RNA
Source: RNAcentral
UACGUAGGUGGCGAGCGUUGUCCGGAAUUACUGGGCGUAAAGCGUGCGCAGGCGGUUCGUUGUGUCGGUGGUGAAAGCCCCGGGCUUAACCUGGGAAUGGCCAUGGAAACUGGCGAACUGGAGUGUGGCAGAGGGGGGUGGAAUUCCGCGUGUAGCAGUGAAAUGCGUAGAGAUGCGGCGGAACACCGAUGGCGAAGGCAGCCCCCUGGGCUGAGAUUGACGCUCAGGCACGAAAGCGUGGGGAGCAAACAGG